UGGGGGAUAUUGCACAAUGGGCGCAAGCCUGAUGCAGCGACGCCGCGUGAGGGAUGACGGCUUUCGGGUUGUAAACCUCUUUCGCUACCGAACAAGGCUCCAUAUUGGUGGGGUUGAGGGUAGGUGGAUAAGAAGCGCCGGCUAACUACGUGCCAGCAGCCGCGGUAAUACGUAGGGCGCGAGCGUUGUCCGGAAUUAUUGGGCGUAAAGAGCUCGUAGGCGGCUUGUCGCGUCUGCUGUGAAAACGCGGGGCUUAACUCCGCGCGUGCAGUGGGUACGGGCAGGCUAGAGUGUGGUAGGGGUGACUGGAAUUCCUGGUGUAGCGGUGGAAUGCGCAGAUAUCAGGAGGAACACCGAUGGCGAAGGCAGGUCACUGGGCCAUUACUGACGCUGAGGAGCGAAAGCAUGGGGAGCGAACA
RNAcentral lists this ribosomal RNA (419 nucleotides) under uncultured bacterium. Its description in RNAcentral is "bacterial SSU rRNA". It matches the Rfam family "Bacterial small subunit ribosomal RNA", at positions 355 to 774 of the family's 1533-position model. The record is from RNAcentral. RNAcentral also lists the same sequence under 1 other name.